UUUCCGUAGGUGAACCUGCGGAAGGAUCAUUAAUGGGAAAUCAAAUCAAAUCAAAACAAAUGUUCUGUUGCACUGGGUGUGUUGUGUGGUGGUGGUGUGAGACAAGGAGAUUCAAUCAUUGGAGAUUCAAUCAUUGGAGAUUCAAUCAUUGGAGAUUCAAUCAUUGGAGAUUCAAUCAUUGGUGAUUCGAUCAUUCAAUCUCAAUCAUUGUAGAUUCAAUCAUUCAAUCUCAAUCAUUCAAUCUCAAUCAUUCAAUCUCAAUCAUCGCCACACAACACAACUAUCUAUCACACUCGAUCGACAACAACACACUCACUCACAACAGCUUACAACUUUUAACAAUGGAUCUCUUGGCUCUU
This 359-nucleotide unclassified non-coding RNA is filed under the name plant metagenome. RNAcentral's name for it is "partial contains small subunit ribosomal RNA, internal transcribed spacer 1, and 5.8S ribosomal RNA". The record is from RNAcentral.